Molecule: ribosomal RNA, 309 nt
Filed under: uncultured bacterium
Lineage: Bacteria
Description: bacterial SSU rRNA
Rfam family: Bacterial small subunit ribosomal RNA
Source: RNAcentral
UCCCGCACGAGCGCAACCCUUGUCCUAGUUGCCAUCAUUUGGUUGGGCACUCUAUCGAGACUGCCGGUGACAAACCGGAGGAAGGUGGGGAUGACGUCAAGUCCUCAUGGCCCUUAUGGGUAGGGCUUCACACGUCAUACAAUGGUCGGUACAGAGGGUUGCCAAGCCGCGAGGUGGAGCCAAUCCCUUAAAGCCGAUCGUAGUCCGGAUCGCAGUCUGCAACUCGACUACGUGAAGUCGGAAUCGCUAGUAAUCGCGGAUCAGCAUGCUGCGGUGAAUACGUUCCCGGGUCUUGUAACACCGCCCGUA